This 456-nucleotide ribosomal RNA is filed under the name uncultured bacterium. RNAcentral describes it as "bacterial SSU rRNA". It matches the Rfam family "Bacterial small subunit ribosomal RNA", at positions 30 to 484 of the family's 1533-position model. The record is from RNAcentral.
AUUGAACGCUGGCGGCAUGCCUUACACAUGCAAGUCGAACGGCAGCACGGGAGCAAUCCUGGUGGCGAGUGGCGAACGGGUGAGUAAUAUAUCGGAACGUGCCCAGUCGUGGGGAUAACGUAGCGAAAGCUACGCUAAUACCGCAUACGAUCUAUGGAUGAAAGCGGGGGAUCGCAAGACCUCGCGCGAUUGGAGCGGCCGAUAUCAGAUUAGGUAGUUGGUGAGGUAAAGGCUCACCAAGCCGACGAUCUGUAGCUGGUCUGAGAGGACGACCAGCCACACUGGGACUGAGACACGGCCCAGACUCCUACGGGAGGCAGCAGUGAGGAAUAUUGGACAAUGGGCGGCAAGCCUGAUCCAGCCAUGCCGCGUGCAGGAUGACGGUCCUAUGGAUUGUAAACUGCUUUGUACAGGAAGAACACUGGUUCGUGUAACCCGGCUUGACGGUACUGUAAG